CGGACGGGUGAGUAAUGCCUAGGAAAUUGCCUUGAUGUGGGGGAUAACCAUUGGAAACGAUGGCUAAUACCGCAUAAUGCCUACGGGCCAAAGAGGGGGACCUUCGGGCCUCUCGCGUCAAGAUAUGCCUAGGUGGGAUUAGCUAGUUGGUGAGGUAAUGGCUCACCAAGGCGACGAUCCCUAGCUGGUCUGAGAGGAUGAUCAGCCACACUGGAACUGAGACACGGUCCAGACUCCUACGGGAGGCAGCAGUGGGGAAUAUUGCACAAUGGGCGAAAGCCUGAUGCAGCCAUGCCGCGUGUAUGAAGAAGGCCUUCGGGUUGUAAAGUACUUUCAGUUGUGAGGAAGGGGGUAGUGUUAAUAGCGCUAUCUCUUGACGUUAGCAACAGAAGAAGCACCGGCUAACUCCGUGCCAGCAGCCGCGGUAAUACGGAGGGUGCGAGCGUUAAUCGGAAUUACUGGGCGUAAAGCGCAUGCAGGUGGUUCAUUAAGUCAGAUGUGAAAGCCCGGGGCUCAACCUCGGAACUGCAUUUGAAACUGGUGAACUAGAGUACUGUAGAGGGGGGUAGAAUUUCNGGUGUAGCGGUGAAAUGCGUAGAGAUCUGANGGAAUACCAGUGGCGAAGGCGGCCCCCUGNNNAGAUACUGACACUCANAUGCGAAAGCGUGGGGAGCAAACAGG
RNAcentral lists this ribosomal RNA (681 nucleotides) under Vibrio sp. KR04-86. RNAcentral's name for it is "bacterial SSU rRNA". It matches the Rfam family "Bacterial small subunit ribosomal RNA", at positions 99 to 776 of the family's 1533-position model. Lineage: Bacteria; Pseudomonadati; Pseudomonadota; Gammaproteobacteria; Vibrionales; Vibrionaceae. The record is from RNAcentral.